UGGGGUGAGCUAUACAAUGGGUUGAUCUGUAGAAUGGAGUGAGCUGGACAAUGGGGCUACUCACCCCACCCACCUUGCAAAGUGAUGCAGGACAGGAAAUGGGUUAAUAGAAGCUCGGAUUUAGAAGAGUGCCUGGCACGCCUAAGGGCUCAAGCCGUCUGUGUAAUUAUCUUAAACUUUUUCAUUUCGGAAAUGAAACAGCUCCUCCCUUCACCGCCACCUUGGCUAUUUCUGGGACCAAAGGAAUCCUUGAAGCUGACCGGGCAGGAGAGUCCACGCUGGGAGUAAAAUCACUACAAACUGUCCAUCAGAAGGCCCCUGCUGAGUAGUUGGCAGGGUGGCUGCACAUAAUGGAAAGCACAUAAGCUUGAAGCCAGACAGAUGGGAGUUCUAACCCCAGCCCUGCCACUUAUUCCCAGGUGACACUGAUGAUGUCCAAAGAGAAGGGAGGAGGAAGGAUGAAAGGAAAGACAGAGGAGGAAGGAAGAGAAGAAAGAAGAGUGGCCGGCACAAGGGCUUGGAGAUCCCUGAAGCUGUUUUCCUUUCUCCUCACCCCCACAGGGAGGGAUCCACAUCGUUGUGGGGUUUUUGUUGUUGUUGUUUUUGUUUUUGUUUUUUUGCCUCCCUUCAUCAAAGCAUUCAUUGUAGUGUAUGGUAAUUGUCUCUGAAUGUAACAGCCUCUCUUCCCUGAGGCCUGGGUCUGCUUGUUUCAUACCAUCUUCUCCUUAACACACAGUGCUUGGUAAACAAUACCUAUUAAUAAACAUUUGUUGAAUGAAUGAAUGAGUGAAUGAACGAAUACUGCACUCUUUCGACUUGGUUAGAGACAUGUCUUGUAGGCUGGCAUGUACUUCACACAGCACUCUUAGGUAGAGUUUGUAUAUGUUAUUCCAUUGAAGGGAAAAGGAAGCCAGACUGUGGGGAGAAAAAAAAAAAAAAAA
Molecule: long non-coding RNA, 941 nt
Filed under: Homo sapiens (human)
Lineage: Eukaryota; Metazoa; Chordata; Mammalia; Primates; Hominidae
Description: HSALNT0317970
Source: RNAcentral